RNAcentral lists this ribosomal RNA (435 nucleotides) under uncultured marine eukaryote. RNAcentral describes it as "SSU rRNA". It matches the Rfam family "Eukaryotic small subunit ribosomal RNA", at positions 613 to 1049 of the family's 1831-position model. The record is from RNAcentral.
UUGUGGUUAAAAAGCUCGUAGUUGGAUCUCGGCGGACUGAGGGCGGUUUGCUUGCUAGUAUUACUGCCCUAUAGUCCGUAGUUUUGCCAGAGGUUUCGGGGUGCUCUUAAUCGAGUGUCCCGGGAUGCUGGCAGGUUUACUUUGAAAAAAUUAGAGUGCUCAAAGCAGGCUAUUACGCCUGAAUAUUCGUGCAUGGAAUAAUAGAAUAGGAAGUCGUUUCUAUUUUGUUGGUUUUCGGAAAUCGACUUAAUGAUUAAUAGGGACAGUCGGGGGCAUUUGUAUUCAAACGACAGAGGUGAAAUUCUUGGACCGUUUGAAGACAAACUACUGCGAAAGCAUUUGCCAAGGAUGUUUUCAUUAAUCAAGAACGAAAGUUAGGGGAUCGAAGGAUGAUUAGAUACCAUCCUAGUCUUAACCAUAAACUAUGCCGACUCG